RNAcentral lists this unclassified non-coding RNA (466 nucleotides) under Hevea brasiliensis (rubber tree). The record is from RNAcentral. Lineage: Eukaryota; Viridiplantae; Streptophyta; Magnoliopsida; Malpighiales; Euphorbiaceae.
CCAUACCUGCAAUUCAUUUUUAUCUUUAGAAAUGCUAUCCCCACUAAAUACAAUACCAUAGAAGCCAUUAACAUAUUGCUAAUAUGCCAAUGAAAUUCCGUCACAAGUUAAAAGUCCCACAACUAUGAGCAAUGAAAUUUAGCAUGUUAAGAGCAGCUGUCAUAUUCUAGUAGCUCUUACAUCCUCGACAAGGCCAUUCUCAAUGAUCACAUCAAUUUUAGGUACCAAUUAUAUUUACAAACUAUCAUAACAAAUAUUUUGAAGGCUUUGCAAGAGAGAUGAUCAUUCCACAUUUACUUAUUUAUUUAAGAGUUUUAUUAAGGCUAACAAAUAAAAAAAUAAUCAUGGCCUUUUCAUAUAUAAAAAAUAAGCAAAAUAGCAUAGUUGUCUGAUCUUGUGAUGCACUAGCAGUUCCAGGCUAUAGGGAAAAAAUUUUGCAAUUACCAUGAACAGAGGUCUAUCUCGC